AUUGCUUCUCGGCCUUUUGGCUAAGAUCAAGUGUAGUAUGAAUUUAUUUGUCAGCUAGGUUCUUCUUGAUCAGGUAUUUUUGGAAACUGGGGAGGGGGGCAUGUUUUGCUGCCCCCAAAUUGCAAGGUGAAGGAUGACUACCUAAUUUUGAUCUAUU
Molecule: small nuclear RNA, 157 nt
Filed under: Mus musculus (house mouse)
Lineage: Eukaryota; Metazoa; Chordata; Mammalia; Rodentia; Muridae
Also listed under: 1 other name
Description: U2 spliceosomal RNA
Rfam family: U2 spliceosomal RNA
About the family: U2 is a small nuclear RNA (snRNA) component of the spliceosome (involved in pre-mRNA splicing). Complementary binding between U2 snRNA (in an area lying towards the 5' end but 3' to hairpin I) and the branchpoint sequence (BPS) of the intron results the bulging out of an unpaired adenosine, on the BPS, which initiates a nucleophilic attack at the intronic 5' splice site, thus starting the first of two transesterification reactions that mediate splicing.
Source: Rfam by way of RNAcentral